Molecule: ribosomal RNA, 465 nt
Filed under: Vreelandella stevensii
Lineage: Bacteria; Pseudomonadati; Pseudomonadota; Gammaproteobacteria; Oceanospirillales; Halomonadaceae
Description: partial 16S ribosomal RNA
Rfam family: Bacterial small subunit ribosomal RNA
Source: RNAcentral
CCUACGGGUGGCUGCAGUGGGGAAUAUUGGACAAUGGGCGAAAGCCUGAUCCAGCCAUGCCGCGUGUGUGAAGAAGGCCUUCGGGUUGUAAAGCACUUUCAGUGGGGAAGAAAGCCUUGGGGCUAAUACCCUCGAGGAAGGACAUCACCCACAGAAGAAGCACCGGCUAACUCCGUGCCAGCAGCCGCGGUAAUACGGAGGGUGCGAGCGUUAAUCGGAAUUACUGGGCGUAAAGCGCGCGUAGGCGGUCUGAUAAGCCGGUUGUGAAAGCCCCGGGCUCAACCUGGGAACGGCAUCCGGAACUGUCAGGCUAGAGGGCAGGAGAGGAAGGUAGAAUUCCCGGUGUAGCGGUGAAAUGCGUAGAGAUCGGGAGGAAUACCAGUGGCGAAGGCGGCCUUCUGGACUGACACUGACGCUGAGGUGCGAAAGCGUGGGUAGCAAACAGGAUUAGAUACCCGGGUAGUC